GACGAACGCUGGCGGCGUGCUUAACACAUGCAAGUCGAACGGAAAGGCCCGCUUGCGGGUACUCGAGUGGCGAACGGGUGAGUAACACGUGGGUAACCUGCCCUCAGCUUUGGGAUAACUUCCGGAAACGGGUGCUAAUACCGAAUAUUGACCUUGCGCCGCAUGGUGUGGGGUUGAAAGUUUUUUCGGCUGGGGAUGGGCCCGCGGCCUAUCAGCUUGUUGGUGGGGUGAUGGCCUACCAAGGCGACGACGGGUAGCCGGCCUGAGAGGGCGACCGGCCACACUGGAACUGAGACACGGUCCAGACUCCUACGGGAGGCAGCAGUGGGGAAUAUUGCGCAAUGGGCGGAAGCCUGACGCAGCGACGCCGCGUGAGGGAUGACGGCCUUCGGGUUGUAAACCUCUUUCGACAGGGACGAAUUCAGACGGUACCUGUAGAAGAAGCACCGGCCAACUACGUGCCAGCAGCCGCAGUAACA
This 479-nucleotide ribosomal RNA is filed under the name uncultured bacterium. RNAcentral describes it as "bacterial SSU rRNA". It matches the Rfam family "Bacterial small subunit ribosomal RNA", at positions 28 to 525 of the family's 1533-position model. The record is from RNAcentral.